CAGUAGCCGCGGGAAUACGUAGGUGGCAAGCGUUGUCCGGAAUUAUUGGGCGUAAAGGGCUCGCAGGCAGUUUCUUAAGUCUGAUGUGAAAGCCCCCGGCUCAACCGGGGAGGGUCAUUGGAAACUGGGAAACUUGAGUGCAGAAGAGGAGAGUGGAAUUCCACGUGUAGCGGUGAAAUGCGUAGAGAUGUGGAGGAACACCAGUGGCGAAGGCGACUCUCUGGUCUGUAACUGACGCUGAGGAGCGAAAGCGUGGGGAGCGAACAGGAUUAGAUACCCCCGUAGUCCCUGUCUCUUAUAC
Molecule: ribosomal RNA, 301 nt
Filed under: uncultured bacterium
Lineage: Bacteria
Description: partial 16S ribosomal RNA
Rfam family: Bacterial small subunit ribosomal RNA
Source: RNAcentral